Urocitellus parryii (Arctic ground squirrel) is the source of this 292-nucleotide long non-coding RNA. RefSeq lists it as uncharacterized. The record is from RefSeq and is a predicted model, not a curated record. NCBI's taxonomy places the organism in Eukaryota, Metazoa, Chordata, Mammalia, Rodentia, Sciuridae.
GGAGACAACUCGGGGGAUAUCCCUGCCAGGGCCUGCAGGAGGCCCUGGAAGAGGAAGAGGCCGCUCUGCAGUUGGCUCAGGCAACCUGUCUGGAGAGCAGAGUAGGAGAGCCACUCACCAGCUGCAGGCCCUGGCUGGAGCAGUUGCUUAGGGGAGCCUGAGGAAUGCCCAGAGAGUGGCCCAGCAGCGCCAGCUCCUCAGGAUGGCACAGCUGCCCCACCCAGGCCUAAACUGCCCCCAGGGUAUUUGAACAGAACUUCAUCAGGAGGCUGUGCGCUGGUCAGAGCCCUGG